This 76-nucleotide transfer RNA is filed under the name Deltaproteobacteria bacterium. RNAcentral describes it as "tRNA-Arg". It matches the Rfam family "tRNA". Rfam says of the family: Transfer RNA (tRNA) molecules are approximately 80 nucleotides in length. Their secondary structure includes four short double-helical elements and three loops (D, anti-codon, and T loops). Lineage: Bacteria; Pseudomonadati; Myxococcota; Myxococcia. The record is from RNAcentral.
GCGCUUGUAGCUCAAUGGAUAGAGCAACAGCCUUCUAAGCUGUGGGUUGCAGGUUCGAGUCCUGCCAGGCGCACCA